GAUAAACGCUGGCGGCGCACAUAAGACAUGCAAGUCGAACGGACUUAACUCAUUCUUUUAGAUUGAGAGCGGUUAGUGGCGGACUGGUGAGUAACACGUAAGCAACCUGCCUAUCAGAGGGGAAUAACAGUGAGAAAUCAUUGCUAAUACCGCAUAAGCUAGUAGCAUCGCAUGAUGUAGCUAGAAAAGGAGUAAUCCGCAGAUAGAUGGGCUUGCGUCUGAUUAGCCAGUUGGUGGGGCAACGGCCUACCAAGGCGACGAUCAGUAGCCGGACUGAGAGGUUGAACGGCCACAUUGGGACUGAGAUACGGCCCAGACUCCUACGGGAGGCAACAGUCGGGAAUAUUGCGCAAUGGAGGAAACUCUGACGCAGUGACGCCGCGUAUAGGAAGAAGGUUUUCGGAUUGUAAACUAUUGUCGUGAGGGAAGAAAUUGACAGUACCUCAGGAGGAAGCUCCGGCUAACUAUGUGCCAGCAGCCGCCGUAA
Molecule: ribosomal RNA, 487 nt
Filed under: uncultured bacterium
Lineage: Bacteria
Description: partial 16S ribosomal RNA
Rfam family: Bacterial small subunit ribosomal RNA
Source: RNAcentral